GUCCUAGCCCUAAAACGAUGAGCACUUGGUGUGGCCCUUUACGGGGCCGUGCCGGAGCUAACGCGUUAAGUGCUCCGCCUGGGGAGUACGGGUCGCAAGGCUGAAACUCAAAGGAAUUGACGGGGCCCGCACAAGCGGUGGAGCAUGUGGUUCAAUUUCGACGCAACGCGAAGAACCUUACCUGGGCUCGAAAUGCAGUUGACAGUCUCAGAGAUGAGGCUUUCCCGCAAGGGACGGCUGUAUAGGUGCUGCAUGGCUGUCGU
Molecule: ribosomal RNA, 263 nt
Filed under: uncultured bacterium
Lineage: Bacteria
Description: partial 16S ribosomal RNA
Rfam family: Bacterial small subunit ribosomal RNA
Source: RNAcentral